This 907-nucleotide ribosomal RNA is filed under the name Kurthia populi. RNAcentral describes it as "bacterial SSU rRNA". It matches the Rfam family "Bacterial small subunit ribosomal RNA", at positions 51 to 943 of the family's 1533-position model. Lineage: Bacteria; Bacillati; Bacillota; Bacilli; Caryophanales; Caryophanaceae. The record is from RNAcentral.
AUACAUGCAGUCGAGCGAAUGAUGAGGAGCUUGCUUCUCUGAUUUAGCGGCGGACGGGUGAGUAACACGUGGGCAACCUGCCCUGUACACUGGGAUAACUUCGGGAAACCGGAGCUAAUACCGGAUAAUUCUUUUAGCCUCAUGGCUUUAAGCUAAAAGGCGCUUCGGCGUCACUACAGGAUGGGCCCGCGGUGCAUUAGCUAGUUGGUGGGGUAACGGCCUACCAAGGCAACGAUGCAUAGCCGACCUGAGAGGGUGAUCGGCCACAUUGGGACUGAGACACGGCCCAAACUCCUACGGGAGGCAGCAGUAGGGAAUCUUCCACAAUGGACGAAAGUCUGAUGGAGCAACGCCGCGUGAGUGAUGAAGGUUUUCGGAUCGUAAAACUCUGUUGUAAGGGAAGAACAAGUGCGUUAGGUAAUGAACGCACCUUGACGGUACCUUAUUAGAAAGCCACGGCUAACUACGUGCCAGCAGCCGCGGUAAUACGUAGGUGGCAAGCGUUGUCCGGAUUUAUUGGGCGUAAAGCGCGCGCAGGUGGUUUCUUAAGUCUGAUGUGAAAGCCCACGGCUCAACCGUGGAGGGUCAUUGGAAACUGGGAGACUUGAGUGCAGAAGAGGAUAGUGGAAUUCCAAGUGUAGCGGUGAAAUGCGUAGAGAUUUGGAGGAACACCAGUGGCGAAGGCGACUGUCUGGUCUGUAACUGACACUGAGGCGCGAAAGCGUGGGGAGCAAACAGGAUUAGAUACCCUGGUAGUCCACGCCGUAAACGAUGAGUGCUAAGUGUUAGGGGGUUUCCGCCCCUUAGUGCUGCAGCUAACGCAUUAAGCACUCCGCCUGGGGAGUACGACCGCAAGGUUGAAACUCAAAGGAAUUGACGGGGGCCCGCACAAGCGGUGGAGCAUGUG